UGGAGGACUGAGAAGGUGAGGCAGCUCUGUACCAUGCUGCCGUCACUGGGUAAGGCCUCCAAAAGUGAAGGGUCACAAGGGCAGAGAAUGCCUUUGUGACCUCUGAAUGCCUUCAGAGGGGCAGUUGCCCUGCUGGCUGUCACUGG
Molecule: small nucleolar RNA, 146 nt
Filed under: Echinops telfairi (small Madagascar hedgehog)
Lineage: Eukaryota; Metazoa; Chordata; Mammalia; Afrosoricida; Tenrecidae
Description: Small nucleolar RNA SNORA47 (ENSETEG00000025028.1)
Rfam family: Small nucleolar RNA SNORA47
Source: RNAcentral